CAAGUAGAAUAAAUGAUCGCGGCCGGGGCAGCUGCCCCGGGUGAGGAAAGUCCGGGCUUCACAGGGCAGGAUGCCGGAUAACAUCCGGUGGAGGUGACUCCAAGGACAGUGCAACAGAAAUAUACCGCCCGGGUAUCCAUGCUUUAUGGCAUGGAAAACUUAGAAAUUACGGCAAUCAUGUGAAACAUGAUUGCCAGGCACAUCACGCAAAGCGUGAUUGCCUUGGGUAAGGGUGGAAAGGCAGUGUAAGAGACUACCGCCUGCACGGUAACGGGCAGGGCACAUGUAAACCCCAUUCGAAGCAAGGCCAAACAGAAAGCGGUAAAGCCGGCCCGGCGAGCUUUCAGGUGGGCCGCUUGAGGCUGCCGGUGACGGCAGUCCUAGAUAGAUGAUCAUUCGCGACAUAACCCGGCUUAUCGUUCUGCUUGCUUU
RNAcentral lists this RNase P RNA (432 nucleotides) under Lachnospiraceae bacterium. RNAcentral's name for it is "RNase P RNA component class A". It matches the Rfam family "Bacterial RNase P class A". From Rfam's summary of the family: Ribonuclease P (RNase P) is a ubiquitous endoribonuclease, found in archaea, bacteria and eukarya as well as chloroplasts and mitochondria. Its best characterised activity is the generation of mature 5'-ends of tRNAs by cleaving the 5'-leader elements of precursor-tRNAs. Lineage: Bacteria; Bacillati; Bacillota; Clostridia; Lachnospirales; Lachnospiraceae. The record is from RNAcentral.